Fukomys damarensis (Damara mole-rat) is the source of this 80-nucleotide non-coding RNA. Lineage: Eukaryota; Metazoa; Chordata; Mammalia; Rodentia; Bathyergidae. The record is from Rfam.
GCUCAGUGAUGUGGUCCCAGCGUAUCCUUCCGACCCUCUGUGGACUCAACAGUGGGAAGAUGCGGAGGACUGUGGCCUGC